RNAcentral lists this ribosomal RNA (576 nucleotides) under Bartalinia robillardoides. Its description in RNAcentral is "partial large subunit ribosomal RNA". It matches the Rfam family "Eukaryotic large subunit ribosomal RNA", at positions 58 to 656 of the family's 3401-position model. The record is from RNAcentral. Lineage: Eukaryota; Fungi; Ascomycota; Sordariomycetes; Amphisphaeriales; Sporocadaceae.
AAAGAAACCAACAGGGAUUGCCUUAGUAACGGCGAGUGAAGCGGCAAUAGCUCAAAUUUGAAAUCUGGCGCUUGCGUCCGAGUUGUAAUUUGUAGAGGAUGAUUUUGGUUAGGUACCUUUCGAGUUCCUUGGAACAGGACGCCUUAGAGGGUGAGAGCCCCGUACGAUUGGAUGCCGAGCCUCUGUAAAUCUCCUUCGACGAGUCGAGUAGUUUGGGAAUGCUGCUCUAAAUGGGAGGUAAAUUUCUUCUAAAGCUAAAUACCGGCCAGAGACCGAUAGCGCACAAGUAGAGUGAUCGAAAGAUGAAAAGCACUUUGAAAAGAGGGUUAAAUAGCACGUGAAAUUGUUGAAAGGGAAGGAUUUAUGACCAGACUUUUUCUAGGAGAAUCAUCCGGUGUUCUCACCGGUGCACUUCUUUUAGUUUAGGCCAGCAUCGACUUUCGGCGGUGGAUAAAAGCUUUAGGAAUGUGGCUUCCCUCGGGAAGUGUUAUAGCCUAUUGUAUAAUACACUGCUGGGGGUCGAGGUACGCGCUUCUGCAAGGAUGCUGGCGUAAUGGUUAUCAAUCACCGGUCUUG